CGAGAAGGAGAAGGAGGAGAAAGAGGAGGAGCAGAUCCCUGUGUGUUAGUCUGUUCCACACAGAAUGUUCUGGGUCAGAGGAAACUAGUUUGUGUUGCUCAAGCUGUCAGAAACACAGAUAUUUUGGUUCUGGGUGAAGCCACAUCAGCCAUCGUCUGCGAGAUGGACAAACACAUCCAGACCACAAGCUGCAGUCAGUUCAACUACUAACCAUCGCUCACCGCCUCGGCACCAUUAUGGACUACACAUGUGUGUUAGCGAUGGAGUGAGGUUGCAUCAGGGAAAUUACAUCAUCAUCAUAAUCCGCAUCACCAAUCUUCUGAGUUGAUCUUGAGUAGGGGAAACAAAAUGAAGACUCACAGAUACAUACCAAUGCGUUGGCUGCCGAGUGAAACCAGGAAGCGGUCUCCGCGUCGAGGUGGCAGAUCAGAGCUGGUGAUGACCACUGUGUCUGGACCCAUAUUAUGGAGCAG
Molecule: long non-coding RNA, 473 nt
Organism: Silurus meridionalis
Lineage: Eukaryota; Metazoa; Chordata; Actinopteri; Siluriformes; Siluridae
Exons: 4
Source: RefSeq, a predicted model, not a curated record